Molecule: non-coding RNA, 326 nt
Filed under: Gossypium arboreum
Lineage: Eukaryota; Viridiplantae; Streptophyta; Magnoliopsida; Malvales; Malvaceae
Description: Eukaryotic large subunit ribosomal RNA
Rfam family: Eukaryotic large subunit ribosomal RNA
Source: Rfam by way of RNAcentral
CCGCCGAUCGACUCGGGGCGUGGACCGACGCGGGUCGUGGCGACGGCCCAAACCCGGGCCUUUGAUACGCCUGUGGAGACGUCGUCGCCUCGAUCGUGGGAUCCAGCACGCGCCCUCUCGGUGUGCUUCGGCACCUGUGUGCUCAGGGCGUCGGCCUGCGGGCUCCCCAUUGGGCCCGUCUUAAAACACGGACCAAGGAGUCUGACGUGUGUGCGAGUCAACGAGCUAGAAAACUCGUAAGGCGCAAGGAAUCUGAUUAGCGGGAUCCCUCACGGGUGCACCGCCGACCGACCUUGAUCUUCUGAGAAGGGUUCGAGUGAGAGCAU